This 465-nucleotide ribosomal RNA is filed under the name Vreelandella stevensii. RNAcentral describes it as "partial 16S ribosomal RNA". It matches the Rfam family "Bacterial small subunit ribosomal RNA", at positions 338 to 795 of the family's 1533-position model. The record is from RNAcentral. Lineage: Bacteria; Pseudomonadati; Pseudomonadota; Gammaproteobacteria; Oceanospirillales; Halomonadaceae.
CCUACGGGGGGCAGCAGUGGGGAAUAUUGGACAAUGGGGGCAACCCUGAUCCAGCCAUGCCGCGUGUGUGAAGAAGGCCCUCGGGUUGUAAAGCACUUUCAGUGAGGAAGAACGCCUGGUGGUUAAUACCCAUCAGGAAAGACAUCACUCACAGAAGAAGCACCGGCUAACUCCGUGCCAGCAGCCGCGGUAAUACGGAGGGUGCGAGCGUUGAUCGGAAUUACUGGGCGUAAAGCGCGCGUAGGUGGCUUGAUAAGCCGGUUGUGAAAGCCCCGGGCUCAACCUGGGAACGGCAUCCGGAACUGUCAAGCUAGAGUGCAGGAGAGGAAGGUAGAAUUCCCGGUGUAGCGGUGAAAUGCGUAGAGAUCGGGAGGAAUACCAGUGGCGAAGGCGGCCUUCUGGACUGACACUGACACUGAGGUGCGAAAGCGUGGGUAGCAAACAGGAUUAGAUACCCUUGUAGUC